RNAcentral lists this ribosomal RNA (399 nucleotides) under bacterium enrichment culture clone ALO1_GLFRUDD03FK9IT. Its description in RNAcentral is "bacterial SSU rRNA". It matches the Rfam family "Bacterial small subunit ribosomal RNA", at positions 9 to 407 of the family's 1533-position model. The record is from RNAcentral.
GAGUUUGAUCUUGGCUCAGAUUGAACGCUGGCGGCAUGCCUUACACAUGCAAGUCGGAACGGCAGCACGGGAGCUUGCUCCUGGUGGCGAGUGGCGAACGGGUGAGUAAUGCAUCGGAACGUAUCCUGGAGUGGGGGAUAACGUAGCGAAAGUUACGCUAAUACCGCAUAUUCUGUGAGCAGGAAAGCGGGGGACCUUCGGGCCUCGCGCUCUUGGAGCGGCCGAUGUCGGAUUAGCUAGUUGGUGAGGUAAAGGCGUCACCAAGGCGACGAUCCGUAGCAGGUCUGAGAGGAUGAUCUGCCACACUGGAACUGAGACACGGUCCAGACUCCUACGGGAGGCAGCAGUGGGAAUUUUGGACAAUGGGGGCAACCCUGAUCCAGCCAUGCCGCGUGAGUG